This 429-nucleotide ribosomal RNA is filed under the name Chloroflexota bacterium. RNAcentral's name for it is "Chloroflexi bacterium partial 16S ribosomal RNA". It matches the Rfam family "Bacterial small subunit ribosomal RNA", at positions 355 to 776 of the family's 1533-position model. Lineage: Bacteria; Bacillati; Chloroflexota. The record is from RNAcentral.
UGGGGAAUAUUGCACAAUGGGCGCAAGCCUGAUGCAGCCAUGCCGCGUGUAUGAAGAAGGCCUUCGGGUUGUAAAGUACUUUCAGUCGGGAGGAAGGUGUCAAGGUUAAUAACCUUGGCAAUUGACGUUACCGACAGAAGAAGCACCGGCUAACUCCGUGCCAGCAGCCGCGGUAAUACGGAGGGUGCAAGCGUUACUCGGAAUUACUGGGCGUAAAGCGGACGCAGGCGGUUGAUUGAGUCAGAUGUGAAAUCCCCGGGCUUAACCCGGGAAUUGCAUCUGAUACUGGUCAGCUAGAGGCUUGUAGAGGGGGGUAGAAUUCCAUGUGUAGCGGUGAAAUGCGUAGAGAUGUGGAGGAAUACCGGUGGCGAAGGCGGCCCCCUGGACAAAGACUGACGCUCAGGUGCGAAAGCGUGGGGAGCAAACAGG